Long non-coding RNA from Culex quinquefasciatus (southern house mosquito), 1264 nucleotides. RefSeq lists it as uncharacterized. The transcript is spliced from 3 exons. NCBI's taxonomy places the organism in Eukaryota, Metazoa, Arthropoda, Insecta, Diptera, Culicidae. The record is from RefSeq and is a predicted model, not a curated record.
CCCACCGUAUAAUUUUGACCUCGGUUAAAUUUGACAGUUCAUUCAAUAAACAAAAAAACGCUAUCUGAUCGACGACAACGGCAACAACCAGUGGCCGAAUUUUCUGCAGUUUAUGUUCCUGUGUGUGAGUGCCCCGACCUGGAAGGAUGCAGGAACCGGCGCUGCGAAUCUUGUUGUCGUUGCCGAGUGUCUUCGGUAACCAGCACGAUCCGUCGUUCGAUCCGGAGAUGCGCGGCUGUCCGAAGACGCUUUGAUGGCGGGGAUGGUUUUGUAACCGGAGCACCAGUAACAAGUGCACUGGAGUGAACAUAAAAUACGAAGACUAUCAGAGUAACCGAAAGCGGUCCCUUUUCACUCGCGUACUCCAGUACGACGAGUAUCGAAGCAACGCUCCGAGGUCACCGAUGAACGGAACAUCGGUUAGUCAUCACCCUGUCAGGCGAGGCGAGGAGGACACCAUGAUGAACGUAGGACGUCACGAUUCUUGAGGGCUUCAUCAUCCGGAGGCGAUCGGUUUGAAGAGUCUUCCGGCCACCGGGAUCACACUCUCAUCAUCAAUCCGCCGGGGACAAUCAUCCAGAAGAAUACUAUCAGGAAGAACGUGGUGGACCACGCCGUCAGAAUUUUAGCAAAAUGGGCGGAAGGAAUCCCCUCAUCACGGCAUAAAUUUCGUGACAGUUCCAAUGAAUACGGAUGCUGUGCUUCCUACUUUCGAAAUGGUGCUUGACUCACGACUUCACACUCUUUUCCUUAAUCACUCUGAAAUUUAUCAACCUUCUUACCAAUUAUUCACAGUCUGUUUUUUUUUUUCAUAGUCACGACUUCACAGUCCCCCACCAAUCACAUUUUCUUCUCAACCACAAUCUUGACUUCAUACUAUUCUUUCCAAUCACAAAAACGUUUUUACACUUUUCUUUGCAAACACUCACGACUUCACAGCAUGAAGUUAUACUCUUCUCCUCAACAUGAUUACUAUUUCACAAGCACUCUCGCGUUUUCACUAUCAUUCACAAACUCAUUCUUAAUCGCUUUCACGAAUUCACCAGAAUUUUUGACUUCACGCUCAUUUUUUUUAAUCACACUAACCUUUUCGCAUUCUUUUUCACUAUCACGUUCACAACUUCACAUUUUUCUCGUAGUCAUACUUACGACUUCACAAUAUUUUUUACAUUCACACAAGGAAGCAUAAGGAAUGUGGGGUCGAUCGAGUUAGAUCUUUCAUCCGAUUUGUUUCGAAUAAAUAAAAAAAUAAUUUUGUUUUAUU